AUCUUCAGGGCAGGGUGAAAUUCCCUACCGGCGGUAAAGCCCGCGAGCGAUUUUAGCAGAUUCGGUGAAAUUCCGAGGCCGACAGUAAAGUCUGGAUGGAAGAAGAUA
Molecule: non-coding RNA, 108 nt
Filed under: uncultured Clostridium sp.
Lineage: Bacteria; Bacillati; Bacillota; Clostridia; Eubacteriales; Clostridiaceae
Description: FMN riboswitch (RFN element)
Rfam family: FMN riboswitch aptamer (RFN element)
About the family: The RFN element is a highly conserved domain that is found frequently in the 5'-untranslated regions of prokaryotic mRNAs that encode for flavin mononucleotide (FMN) biosynthesis and transport proteins. This element is a metabolite-dependent riboswitch that directly binds FMN in the absence of proteins. In Bacillus subtilis, the riboswitch most likely controls gene expression by causing premature transcription termination within the 5' untranslated region of the ribDEAHT operon and precluding access to the ribosome-binding site of ypaA mRNA.
Source: RNAcentral